AAUUACCAUAAGAUGGGUAUUUACGGUUAUGAACUUGAAAUGCGCUUUCCUUCAAAGGACCUUGCCGGUGUAAGAUUAAGACAGCUGAUAUAUUGUAACAUAUUCUGUUCUUUGUAAUUGCUAUAAUGCUUAGCAUAUCGGUAUAUUUUGCAUUUUCAGUCCUUUAUUCACUUGAGGAUAUUUUUUGAGGAAAUUCUAUUUUAGUUUGUUUCUUUUUCAAAUCCAGGCCAGAUCACCUUAUACGGGACCCACCAAUAGAUGUCCUGAAAAAAUAGGUUAACUUCCUUCUCGGCGUGAACAAAAAUAACACCCAGAUCAGGUAGAGCGCAAGACCAAAAUGUUUGCGGCGGGUCAAGCACUUCAAGCUUGGAAGAAGCUUUAACUUCUCUCUCUAGUUUUACUUGACUUUCUGAUGGACACUGGGAGGCGCCAGACACUCCUCUGAAAGCUCAUGCCUUGAACAGAUAUGGAUGAAGUCUGGGUGAAGUUAGAUGAGAAGGCUGGGUGGAGGCUGUAACAGACCAGCAAAGAGCAGAGGGGUCAUCGGGUUUGGAACGUGUCGGACUGCCUAAGAGCAGCAGGCUUAGAGAUUGGCAUGGAGAGUGCAGCUACGGGCGCUGGGCACGCCACGAUGCCUCACUCCCCCUUUUGCUCUGGCACCUGCUUUGGUCGCACCAUGGCAGCGUCAGCAGAAUCCUCAGGCCAGACCUUUCAGAUGGGAAGGAGAAAUCCCUGCUGGGGAGGAAGGGGGGGAGUCCAUGAGAAAUAGUGACCACGCUGCGUCGGUCUGCUCCAGAGUUUGGUUUUAAGCCUGUGUGGUCUGCCACUGUUCUCCAGCGCAGGGAAUGUGAAAACCGGCCAGGGAACGCGAGCCACGCUUUCAUGGACAUAUAUGUACGCCUGCAUUGACAUCGCUGCUAUUUUUAGCUGCGGGCUGCUCACGGAGAUGUCAUAGUGAUGUCAGUGACCCCCCUUAAAAUAAAUGCUUUGUUAUUGUUCAGCAUUUUCUGUCUCCUUUGAUGCAAUGUUUGCUUAUGUUUACUUGCUAUUAAUAAUCCGUUCCGAUGGAGCUCAGAGAACCGGGGAAGUGUUCGGGAAAUUUGGACAGUUUAAAUAAUUCGGUGCGAUCUGGUAACAGACUGGGAAUAAACACUUUGUCAUGAAAUGGAAA
Brienomyrus brachyistius is the source of this 1171-nucleotide long non-coding RNA. RefSeq lists it as uncharacterized. Lineage: Eukaryota; Metazoa; Chordata; Actinopteri; Osteoglossiformes; Mormyridae. The record is from RefSeq and is a predicted model, not a curated record. The transcript has 3 exons.